GACGAACGCUGGCGGCGUGCCUAAUACAUGCAAGUCGAACGCUUUGAUUUUCACCGGAGCUUGCUCCACCGAAAAUCAAAGAGUGGCGGACGGGUGAGUAACACGUGGGCAACCUGCCCAACAGAGGGGGAUAACACUUGGAAACAGGUGCUAAUACCGCAUAAUUUGUUUUCCCGCAUGGGAGAAUAAUAAAAGACGCUUCGGUGUCACUGUUGGAUGGGCCCGCGCUGCAUUAGUUAGUUGGUGGGGUAAUGGCCUACCAAGACCGUGAUGCAUAGCCGACCUGAGAGGGUGAUCGGCCACACUGGGACUGAGACACGGCCCAGACUCCUACGGGAGGCAGCAGUAGGGAAUCUUCGGCAAUGGACGAAAGUCUGACCGAGCAACGCCGCGUGAGUGAAGAAGGUUUUCGGAUCGUAAAACUCUGUUGUUAGAGAAGAACAAGUGGGAGAGUAACUGUUCCCACCUUGACGGUAUCUAACCAGAAAGCCACGGCUAACUACGUGCCAGCAGCCGCGGUAAUACGUAGGUGGCAAGCGUUGUCCGGAUUUAUUGGGCGUAAAGCGAGCGCAGGCGGUUUCUUAAGUCUGAUGUGAAAGCCCUCGGCUCAACCGAGGAAGGUCAUUGGAAACUGGGGAACUUGAAUGCAGAAGAGGAGAGUGGAAUUCCAUGUGUAGCGGUGAAAUGCGUAGAUAUAUGGAGGAACACCAGUGGCGAAGGCGACUCUCUGGUCUGUAAUUGACGCUGAGGCUCGAAAGCGUGGGGAGCAAACAGG
RNAcentral lists this ribosomal RNA (775 nucleotides) under uncultured bacterium. RNAcentral describes it as "bacterial SSU rRNA". It matches the Rfam family "Bacterial small subunit ribosomal RNA", at positions 28 to 776 of the family's 1533-position model. The record is from RNAcentral.